CUGGAAGGGCGGAGGGCCGCUCCGGGCUUCGGCCCGGGGAGGAAAGUCCGAACUCCACAGGGCGGGAUGCCGCGUAACUCCGGUCGACAGGCCGGAGAUAGAUGCGGGGGCCCGGGAUAACAGCCGGGCGACGGAAAGUGCCACAGAAAACAGACCGCCGAAGGAGCUGGCAACGGCUCCUCCGGUAAGGGUGAAAAGGCGGGGUAAAAGCCCACCGCUCCAAGCGCAAGCGCGGAGGCACGGAAAACCCCAUCCGGAGCAAGACCAAAUAGGAGACCCCGGGGUGGCCCGCCCCCAGUCCCGUCGAAAGACGGGGCGGGUCUCGGGUAUCGGUCGCUGAGACAAAUGGUCCUCUCCCCGCAGGCUCUCGGGCCGGCGGGCAGACAGAAAUCGGCUUACAGCCCUUCCAGAAUC
RNAcentral lists this RNase P RNA (414 nucleotides) under Verrucomicrobiales bacterium. RNAcentral's name for it is "RNase P RNA component class A". It matches the Rfam family "Bacterial RNase P class A". From Rfam's summary of the family: Ribonuclease P (RNase P) is a ubiquitous endoribonuclease, found in archaea, bacteria and eukarya as well as chloroplasts and mitochondria. The record is from RNAcentral. Lineage: Bacteria; Pseudomonadati; Verrucomicrobiota; Verrucomicrobiia; Verrucomicrobiales.